AGUCUCAUCGGACCCCCGGGUGGGGGUGGGGGGUGCUGGGUCCCGGUGCUGGAUCCUCUCUGGAUCCCGGAUCUGGAUAUUCCCAUUGGAGCCCGGUUCUGGUUCUGGAUCCCGGUGCUGGGUCCCGGUUCUGGAUAUUCCCACUGGGUCCCAGUUCUGGUUCUGGAUCCUCUCACUGGAUCCCGGAUCUGGAUAUUCCCAUUGGAGCCCAGUUCUGGUUCUGGAUCCCGGUGCUGGGUCCCGGUUCUGGUUCUGGAUAUUCCCACUGGGUCCCAGUUCUGGAGAUUCCCAUUGGAGCCCAGUUCUGGAUUUCAUCACUGCAUCCUGGUUCUGGAUCUUCUCAUUUGACCUCGGUUCUGGAUCACGGUUCUGGAUGUCCUCACAGAGUCCAGUCCUGGUUCUGGAUUUCCUCACGGAGUCCAGUUCUGGUUCUGGAUUUCCUCACUGGACCCCGGUUCUGGAUUUCCUCACGGAGUCCAGUUCUGGUUCUGGAUCCCCUCACUGGAUCCCGGUUCUGGAUCCCAGUCCUUGAUCCAGGCCCGACCCCGGAUCCCGGUGCCGGAGGAGGUCGGGGAUUCCCCAGCCCGGGAUCAGUCCUGGAUCAGUUCUGGAUCCCCUGGGACGGUUCUGGAUCCCGUGGAUCGCUUGGCGUCAUCCCAAACCUCUCCAGGCAGAUCCCAAACCUCUCCAGGCAGAUCCCAAACCUCUCUGCUGAAUCCCAAACAACUUCCAGACAGAUCCUAAAUCUUUCCAGACAGAUACUAAAUCCUUCCAGGCUGAUCCCAAACCCCUGGGGCAGAUCCCAAACCCCUCAGGGCAGAGAUGGAUCCCAAACCUCUCCAGGUGGAUCCCAAACCCCCAGGGCUGAUCCCAAACCUUUCAGGUGGAUCCCAAACCCCUGAGAUGGAUCCUAAGUCUUUCCAGGCCAAUCCCAAACCCCUGGGUCGGACCCCAAACCCCUCCAGAUGGACCCCAAACCCCUGAGAUGGAUCCAAAACCUCUCCAGGGUGAUCCCAAACCCCUCAGACUGAUCUGAAACCUCUCCAGGGUGAUCCCAAACCUCUCCAGGGCUGAUCCCAAACUUCUCCAGGUAGACCCCAAACCCCUGAGAUGGAUCCCAAACCCCUGCAGGUGGACUCCAAACCCGAGAUGGAUCCGAAACCUUUCCAGAUGGACCCCAAACCCCUCCAGGUGGAUCCCAAACCUCUCCAGGGCUGAUCCCAAACUUCUCCAGGUGGACCCCAAACCCCUGAG
RNAcentral lists this long non-coding RNA (1254 nucleotides) under Lonchura striata (white-rumped munia). RNAcentral's name for it is "domestica (Bengalese finch) lncRNA (ENSLSDG00000011830.1)". Lineage: Eukaryota; Metazoa; Chordata; Aves; Passeriformes; Estrildidae. The record is from RNAcentral.